This 483-nucleotide ribosomal RNA is filed under the name Tetranychus pueraricola. RNAcentral's name for it is "partial ribosomal RNA". The record is from RNAcentral. Lineage: Eukaryota; Metazoa; Arthropoda; Arachnida; Trombidiformes; Tetranychidae.
GUUGAGAUGUAAAAUAAUCAACAAAACACUUGCAUACUACCAUAUAUGUAUUGUUUUGAGAGGAUUGUAUAUUUAUAUGCAUGAAUCUUGAUGUUUUAUUCCUUUUCUUAAUUGCAAUUCGUUGCAAUUUAGUAAGGAGAAUCUCAAAUCUACUUGUUUCACAUGAUAAAUUUUGUGUACAAUGCAUAUUUCAUCUCUGCAAGCAGUAUAUAUGAAUAGAUAGUAGCAUGAGAUUCUAAGGUUAGUCGCCUAUCUGACGACGCUAAAGUCGUAUUGCAGAUAACUAUGGUGAUCAACUAACCUGUUAAAUGAUGAAUCUUCUUGCACUUGUAUCACAAUCAUACAAAUAGUAGCUAUUUCAUUCUGUUAAAGCAGACCUAAGAAGUAAUGCAAAGGCAAAAUUUGUGCAAACUUUAAAGUAGAUUUACGUUGCUUGCUUGCAAACAACACAAAUAUACAUUAAUCAACUUAAUCAAUAUUUUU